This 253-nucleotide ribosomal RNA is filed under the name uncultured bacterium. RNAcentral's name for it is "partial 16S ribosomal RNA". It matches the Rfam family "Bacterial small subunit ribosomal RNA", at positions 524 to 776 of the family's 1533-position model. The record is from RNAcentral.
UACAGAGGUCCCGAGCGUUGUUCGGAUUCAUUGGGCGUAAAGGGUGCGUAGGCGGCUUUCUAAGUCUGAUGUGAAAUCCUGGGGCUCAACCCCAGAACUGCAUUGGAUACUGGAAGGCUAGAGUACUGGAGAGGAAACUGGAAUUUACGGUGUAGCAGUGAAAUGCGUAGAGAUCGUAAGGAAGACCAGUGGCGAAGGCGAGUUUCUGGACAGUAACUGACGCUGAGGCGCGAAAGCUAGGGGAGCAAACAGG